This 253-nucleotide ribosomal RNA is filed under the name uncultured bacterium. Its description in RNAcentral is "partial 16S ribosomal RNA". It matches the Rfam family "Bacterial small subunit ribosomal RNA", at positions 524 to 776 of the family's 1533-position model. The record is from RNAcentral.
UACGUAGGGUGCAAGCGUUAAUCGGAAUUACUGGGCGUAAAGCGUGCGCAGGCGGUUUUGUAAGUCUGACGUGAAAUCCCCGGGCUCAACCUGGGAAUUGCGUUGGAGACUGCAAGGCUAGAAUCUGGCAGAGGGGGGUAGAAUUCCACGUGUAGCAGUGAAAUGCGUAGAGAUGUGGAGGAACACCGAUGGCGAAGGCAGCCCCCUGGGUCAAGAUUGACACUCAUGCACGAAAGCGUGGGGAGCAAACAGG